CCUACGGGUGGCAGCAGUGAGGAAUAUUGGUCAAUGGACGAGAGUCUGAACCAGCCAAGUAGCGUGAAGGAUGACUGCCCUAUGGGUUGUAAACUUCUUUUAUAUGGGAAUAAAAUGUUCCACGUGUGGGAUUUUGUAUGUACCAUAUGAAUAAGGAUCGGCUAACUCCGUGCCAGCAGCCGCGGUAAUACGGAGGAUCCGAGCGUUAUCCGGCUUUAUUGGGUUGAAAGGGAGCGUAGGUGGAUUGUUAAGUCAGUUGUGAAAGUUUGCGGCUCAACCGUAAAAUUGCCGUUGAAACUGGCAGUCUUGAGUACAGUAGAGGUGGGCGGAAUUCGUGGUGUAGCGGUGAAAUGCUUAGAUAUCACGAAGAACUCCGAUUGCGAAGGCAGUUCACUGGACUGCAACUGACACGGAGGCUCGAAAGUGUGGGUAUCAAACAGGAGUAGAUACCCCAGUAGUC
Molecule: ribosomal RNA, 460 nt
Filed under: uncultured bacterium
Lineage: Bacteria
Description: partial 16S ribosomal RNA
Rfam family: Bacterial small subunit ribosomal RNA
Source: RNAcentral